CUGGAAGUCACCAACUCUGGAAAAGGUGAAAGUCUUCCUAUGGUUAGCAACAAAGAACAAGCUAAGCAGGGAAAAUUCUUGCUAAGAAAAAAGAAUGGAGUGUGAGUGCUGGCUUUAUCUCAUGUGGAGCUAAUGUGGAGUCUAUCAACCAUCUUUUCUUUAGGUGUCCUUUUGCGAGGAGUCUAUGGGCCACCAUCCAGUUGUAGCAGAAUUUGAGAGGGCAACAAUCAGCAUUUCAUAACCUAUGGAAGGGUAGGAGAAGGAAGAAGGAAAGAAUAAUGGCAAAGAAGGAUGGGAACCAGCAAAUUGCAGCGGUUUGGUAGGAGAUAUGGAGGGAGAGAAAUGCCCGUCUCUUUCUGAACAAGAAAGGAUCUUUUUAUUCUGUUUUGCAGAAGAUGUUUCAGUCAUUCUGCAAUUGGGGGCAUAUAUGUUCUUCCAAGAAUGGAACUGAGCAUCAAAACCUCUGGAAAGGAAUCGAAUCUUGGGCACAUCCAACCA
This 498-nucleotide long non-coding RNA is filed under the name Elaeis guineensis (African oil palm). RNAcentral's name for it is "long non-coding RNA (EGUI_LNC030677)". The record is from RNAcentral. Lineage: Eukaryota; Viridiplantae; Streptophyta; Magnoliopsida; Arecales; Arecaceae.